AUUGAACGCUGGCGGCAGGCCUAACACAUGCAAGUCGAGCGGAUGAAGGGAGCUUGCUCCUGGAUUCAGCGGCGGACGGGUGAGUAAUGCCUAGGAAUCUGCCUGGUAGUGGGGGAUAACGUCCAGAAACGGGCGCUAAUACCGCAUACGUCCUGAGGGAGAAAGUGGGGGAUCUUCGGACCUCACGCUAUCAGAUGAGCCUAGGUCGGAUUAGCUAGUUGGUGGGGUAAAGGCCUACCAAGGCGACGAUCCGUAACUGGUCUGAGAGGAUGAUCAGUCACACUGGAACUGAGACACGGUCCAGACUCCUACGGGAGGCAGCAGUGGGGAAUAUUGGACAAUGGGCGAAAGCCUGAUCCAGCCAUGCCGCGUGUGUGAAGAAGGUCUUCGGAUUGUAAAGCACUUUAAGUUGGGAGGAAGGGCAGUAAGUUAAUACCUUGCUGUUUUGACGUCACCAACAGAAUAAGCACCGGCUAACUUCGUG
This 484-nucleotide ribosomal RNA is filed under the name uncultured bacterium. RNAcentral describes it as "partial 16S ribosomal RNA". It matches the Rfam family "Bacterial small subunit ribosomal RNA", at positions 30 to 507 of the family's 1533-position model. The record is from RNAcentral.